CUCCUGUGGGAUAACAGUUGAUCACAACUGAAGAAUCAGCAAUGCAUAAAUUCUAUUUAAGAAGAAGUUCUUAAGAAAACCCAAAGAACAGGGAAGCUAAAAACCAAGAAUAUUAGAGGAAUUUGAAACUCUUGGAACCUACAGCUUUAGCAACUGUUAAUCACAGUCCACCAGAUUAACAUACAACCUCACAAUAAAGGUAUCUGUGUGUUUUCUGCUUUUUUGGAACAGGCUGGGAAUGAGUUAACUAGGUUGCUCAAAUCUUGUAUAGGUUAUAACUUAAUUUUGUCUGCUUGAUCUAGAAGAUCCUGAGAAAGAUGUAUAUAAACAACUUAUAUGUCAGUCCUAUGACAGAUACUCUUGAAAAUAGAGUCUGAAGAAAGGACUAAAGAAGAAAGGGUAAAGGAAAGGAAACUGAGAUAUGAAUAUUUAUAAAAAUGAUAUUGAUGAAGAAUUACAAGUCAAUACAAAAUAUAAAGGGACCUGAGAUUACAGGAGUACAUGGGGAUUUAGAGGAAAUUUUCACUGGGAGCAUGAAUACAGCAGAAGGAGAUACCUCAAAAAUGGCAAAAAGUCUCGGUAGGAUUGAAUGUCUUUCCUUCUCCUCCUCAAAACACACAUUCCAUGAAUACUAAACACUUCAGUUUUCUGAUGUGCACACUAUCAUGUGCCUUUGGGUAUGCUACUCUUUCUGCUCAGAAUGAACCUCUCUCCAAACCCUAUAAAUUUGAUGAAUGCUUACUUAUCAUUUAGAAUUAUCUUAAAUUCAUAAAUACGUUCUUCCCUACUUUCUCAUCAGAUAACCCUCACUCUCCUGUGCCUUGUAUAUAUUUCUGUUAUUAUGUUUCCUCACUAAACUGUUUUAUUUCUUUUACAUAUUUAUUUGUGUUUAUUAACCAUAUCAUCUUUGAGCUCCAGUUCAUGAUUCCUGGUUUUGCAUCCAUGGUAUAGAAUUCUUUAAGUUUUUGUUCCACUGAAUUGAAUUGAAUUGAAUUAAAUUUAUUGGUUGUGUAUUUUUCUAUGAAACCAUCUACACUCUUCCUUCAUUUUCCUUCUGACCAAUGGCAGGUAUUUGAGAGAUGGACAGGUUUAAGGGCACAGUCUUUUGAAAUGGAGCAGAACAAUGUUAAAUGAGCCACAAAGAGAUCAAUUCCUACAAUUAGACCACAGAAGCCUAAUACUCAGAACAACAAGCUCACCAUCUUGAGGGCUGUAAUGAAGCUAGAAAUACAUAUUCUCUUUCUUUGCUGUGGUUUGGCCUGUAAGAGAUCUAUAUUUCCAGACUUUUAGAAAACAGAAGCUAUUAAAAUAUAGUAAAUGUUUACUGGUAAAGUUAUUCACCUAUUUAAUGGAGAAGGUAAAACUAAUAUGAGUGAAAUGUAUUUUAAAGUCAUAAAACAAUUCAAAAAUUUAAGGAACUAGAGUAAGAUUGAAAAUAAUUAAAAAUGUAAACUACUUCAAGGGAAUUUCAUAAUAUCUAUAUUUUUUCAAUUUCAUAGUAGAAUCUUUUAUUUUAAAAUGUUUAUAAGUUCAUACUAUUCUAUAAUUUGAAUUCGUAAUAAAUUGUCCUAAAAAGUCAGAUGAAUAAAGGUUAUGGACUUUCUUUGUUCUAUGAGAUGCUU
Long non-coding RNA from Mirounga angustirostris (Northern elephant seal), 1622 nucleotides. RefSeq lists it as uncharacterized. The transcript has 3 exons. NCBI's taxonomy places the organism in Eukaryota, Metazoa, Chordata, Mammalia, Carnivora, Phocidae. The record is from RefSeq and is a predicted model, not a curated record.